Molecule: non-coding RNA, 394 nt
Organism: Cinara cedri
Lineage: Eukaryota; Metazoa; Arthropoda; Insecta; Hemiptera; Aphididae
Source: the annotation of a GenBank genome assembly
CAGACAUGUUUGAUAAUCUGUGGACUGUAAUUCCAAUGUAGUAAUUAUUACUUGUAAUUGUUGGCACCAAAAGUGUGCACCAUGUCGCCGCCAAAGUGGUCUCGGACAUUCAGAAGUAGUAGAUUGUGGUUGAUUAAAUUGUUGUUAUGGUAUCCCGUUAGAACCGUAGACAUUGGAAUUGUAUUUGUGUUGUAAAAAUGUUAGCGACCACCCCCACCCCCCGGAUCUUUGCUAUAGAUCUGUGUCUCGCUGAGGUGUACAUGAUUUGUCGCGUGCAAAAAUAAUGGGUCUUGGCGGAUUUUCGGCUUAAACGACGGAUUUCGAAUUUUGUGAGGUAUUUACACCGUUGUUUUGUGCGAGAACGGACCUUACGAGUUACGAUCAUCUCGUGUUG